CAGGUCAGUGCAGUGUUCUCCUGGGGGUCAGUGCCGGGCAGCACAGAAAGUCCCAAAUUCUCAGCAGCAUCCAGAACUGCAGCACAUUUCCUCCCUCCUGGUGAUGGGACCAAAAUCUCUGCUGGAGCAGGAAUUAUCUUGUGUACAACUUCUAUUGAAACAGCUCUCCUACACAACCAAAACAACGACUCCCAGCACCCUGAAAUGAGCAGAUUAUUGAAUUAUUUCUGUGAAUAAAGGCGAAGAAUGGCCCGUGCAUGGCUCCAGCAGCAUUAACACACAGAGCUGCGCUGAUGCAGCCGGGAGCUGAAAUAUUGACCAGAAGAAAUAACUCCGAGGCAGAAAUGAGGCUGGCUAAAAGCAGGGCUGUGCUUUGGAGCAGCCCUGGUUGCCCCCCUGGCCUGCUUUGCUGUCAUUAAUAAAGGCAAAAGCGAGA
Molecule: non-coding RNA, 436 nt
Organism: Taeniopygia guttata (zebra finch)
Lineage: Eukaryota; Metazoa; Chordata; Aves; Passeriformes; Estrildidae
Source: RefSeq, a predicted model, not a curated record